UUACUCUUUUUAAAAUUAGAACUCAAGGCUGCGUUAUAAGACAAAAGAUUGGGCCCUGAAGAAAGAAGAGUAUGAAAAUGAAAUUGAAAGACUUUCGGGUGAAAUAUCAAAUUACUUGAAUGUUACCAAUUUCUGGUAUGAAGAGUCUGAGCUUCUCAGUGGCCAAGCAAAAAGAAUAUUAACUGAACCAAAGAAGCAUGUCAGCACUCAAACAGAUGGACUGGAGAAAAGAACAGUUGAAACUCAGACUGAAGAAGAUGAUUCAAGGGUGAAUCUGAGUAGCAGAAAUCCAGUAUAAUUGUAAUCUUAGUACUGGAGAGUAUUUAAGUUUGACAUUUUAAAUUUUAUUGAAUGUAUUAAAAUAUUUAUAUCUAU
This is a long non-coding RNA of Candoia aspera, 375 nucleotides long. RefSeq lists it as uncharacterized. The record is from RefSeq and is a predicted model, not a curated record. The transcript has 8 exons. Lineage: Eukaryota; Metazoa; Chordata; Lepidosauria; Squamata; Candoiidae.